UACGAACCGUCCAAACGUUAAUCGGAAUUACUGGGCGUAAAGUGUGCGCAGGUGGCCGCGCAAGUCGAGUGUGAAAUCCCCGAGCUUAACUUGGGAAUUGCGCUCGAAACUACGUGGCUCGAGUGUGGCAGAGGAAGGUGGAAUUCCACGUGUAGCGGUGAAAUGCGUAGAGAUGUGGAGGAACACCGAUGGCGAAGGCAGCCUUCUGGGCCAACACUGACGCUCAUGCACGAAAGCGUGGGGAGCAAACAGG
Molecule: ribosomal RNA, 253 nt
Filed under: uncultured bacterium
Lineage: Bacteria
Description: partial 16S ribosomal RNA
Rfam family: Bacterial small subunit ribosomal RNA
Source: RNAcentral